AGAGUUUGAUCCUGGCUCAGAGCGAACGCUGGCGGCAGGCCUAACACAUGCAAGUCGAGCGGGCCCUUCGGGGUCAGCGGCAGACGGGUGAGUAACGCGUGGGAACGUACCCUUUGGUUCGGAACAACUCCGGGAAACUGGAGCUAAUACCGGAUACGCCCUUUCGGGGGAAAGAUUUAUCGCCGAAGGAUCGGCCCGCGUCUGAUUAGCUAGUUGGUGAGGUAAUGGCUCACCAAGGCGACGAUCAGUAGCUGGUCUGAGAGGAUGAUCAGCCACACUGGGACUGAGACACGGCCCAGACUCCUACGGGAGGCAGCAGUGGGGAAUAUUGGACAAUGGGCGCAAGCCUGAUCCAGCCAUGCCGCGUGAGUGAUGAAGGCCUUAGGGUUGUAAAGCUCUUUCACCCACGACGAUAAUGACGGUAGUGGGAGAAGAAGCCCCGGCUAACUUCGUGCCAGCAGCCGCGGUAAUACGAAGGGGGCUAGCGUUGCUCGGAAUCACUGGGCGUAAAGGGCGCGUAGGCGGCCGAUCAAGUCAGGGGUGAAAGCCUGUGGCUCAACCACAGAAUGGCCUUUGAUACUGUUCGGCUCGAGACCGGAAGAGGUUGGUGGAACUGCGAGUGUAGAGGUGAAAUUCGUAGAUAUUCGCAAGAACACCGGUGGCGAAGGCGGCCAACUGGUCCGGUUCUGNNGCUGAGGGCGAAAGCGUGGGGAGCAAACAGGAUUAGAUACCCUAGUAGUCC
This 742-nucleotide ribosomal RNA is filed under the name uncultured bacterium. Its description in RNAcentral is "bacterial SSU rRNA". It matches the Rfam family "Bacterial small subunit ribosomal RNA", at positions 8 to 796 of the family's 1533-position model. The record is from RNAcentral.